UACAGAGGUCUCAAGCGUUGUUCGGAUUCAUUGGGCGUAAAGGGUGCGUAGGUGGCGCGCUAAGUCAGGUGUGAAAUUUCGGAGCUUAACUCCGAAACUGCAUUUGAUACUGGCGUGCUUGAGGACUGGAGAGGAGACUGGAAUUCAUGGUGUAGCAGUGAAAUGCGUAAAGAUCAUGAGGAAGACCAGUGGCGAAGGCGGGUCUCUGGACAGUUCCUGACACUGAGGCACGAAGGCCAGGGGAGCAAACGGG
Molecule: ribosomal RNA, 253 nt
Filed under: uncultured bacterium
Lineage: Bacteria
Description: partial 16S ribosomal RNA
Rfam family: Bacterial small subunit ribosomal RNA
Source: RNAcentral